AUGACAGCACAACAAAUGAAAGACCCAGAUUUUUUUUAUAGAUACACCACAGACAAUGAUGGGCAUCUGCAGAACAUAUUUUGGGCAGACGCCCAAUCUCGCUUGGACUAUGUUGCAUUUGGUGGUGUGGUGGUGUUUGACAGCACAUACCGGUCAAACAAAUAUAGGUCACCGUUUGUUCCAUUUGUGGGGCUGAAUCAUCACCGCAACACAGUCGUGUUUGGGGUUGGUCUUGUAUCCGGCGAAUCGGCUGACUCAUAUGAGUGGCUGCUUCAGGUUUUUUUGGAGGCAAUGCACCAGAAGCAUCCCAUUUCAGCGAUCAAAGACGGUGACGCUUCAAUGGCCAAAGCC
This 351-nucleotide ribosomal RNA is filed under the name Triticum aestivum (bread wheat). RNAcentral's name for it is "partial small subunit ribosomal RNA". Lineage: Eukaryota; Viridiplantae; Streptophyta; Magnoliopsida; Poales; Poaceae. The record is from RNAcentral.